Molecule: ribosomal RNA, 1449 nt
Filed under: uncultured Moritella sp.
Lineage: Bacteria; Pseudomonadati; Pseudomonadota; Gammaproteobacteria; Alteromonadales; Moritellaceae
Description: partial 16S rRNA
Rfam family: Bacterial small subunit ribosomal RNA
Source: RNAcentral
GAGUUUGAUCCUGGCUCAGAAUGAACGCUGGCGGCAGGCCUAAAACAUGCAAGUCGAACGCUCUAGUUUACCAGAGAGUGGCGCACGGGUGAGUAACAUGUGGGAAUAUACCUUUUGGUACGGAACAACUUUUAGAAAUGAAAGCUAAUACCGUAUGGUCCCUUCGGGGUAAAGAUUUAUCGCCAAGAGAAUAGCCCGCACUGGAUUAGCUAGUUGGUAAGGUAACGGCUCUACCAAGGCGACGAUCCAUAGCUGGUUUGAGAGGAUGAUCAGCCACACUGGGACUGAGACACGGCCCAGACUCCUACGGGAGGCAGCAGUUAGGAAUAUUGGACAAUGGGCGCAAGCCUGAUCCAGCCAUGCCGCGUGAGUGAUGAAGGCCUUCGGGUUGUAAAGCUCUUUAGCUCGUGAAUAUAAUGACUGUAGCGAGAAAAUAAGCCCCGGCUAACUCCGUGCCAGCAGCCGCGGUAAUACGGGGGGGGCGAGCGUUAUUCGGAAUCACUGGGCGUAAAGCGUACGUAGGCGGUUAUGAAAGUUAGAUGUGAAAGCCCAGGGCUCAACCUUGGAAUUGCAUUUAAUACUCCAUGACUUGAAUUCGGGAGAGGAUAGUGGAAUUGUCAGUGUAGCAGUGAAAUGCGUAGAUAUUGAUAGGAACACCAGUGGCGAAGGCGACUAUCUGGACCGACAUUGACGCUGAGGUACGAAAGCGUGGGGAGCAAACGGGAUUAGAUACCCCGGUAGUCCACGCCGUAAACGAUGUGUGCUUGUCGUCGGGAGCUUUAGUUCUCGGUGACGGAGCUAACGCGUUAAGCACACCGCCUGGGAAGUACGGUCGCAAGGUUAAAACUCAAAUGAAUUGACGGGGGCCCGCACAAGCGGUGGAGCAUGUGGUUUAAUUCGAUGCAACGCGAAGAACCUUACCUACUCUUGACAUCCACAGAAUCUGGUAGAGAUACCUCAGUGCCUUCGGGAACUGUGAGACAGGUGCUGCAUGGCUGUCGUCAGCUCGUGUUGUGAAAUGUUGGGUUAAGUCCCGCAACGAGCGCAACCCUUAUCCUUAUUUGCCAGCACGUAAUGGUGGGAACUCUAAGGAGACUGCCGGUGAUAAACCGGAGGAAGGUGGGGACGACGUCAAGUCAUCAUGGCCCUUACGAGUAGGGCUACACACGUGCUACAAUGGCGCAUACAAAGGGCUGCAAACCAGCAAUGGUAAGCGAAUCCCAUAAAGUGCGUCGUAGUCCGGAUUGGGGUCUGCAACUCGACCCCAUGAAGUCGGAAUCGCUAGUAAUCGUGAAUCAGAAUGUCACGGUGAAUACGUUCCCGGGCCUUGUACACACCGCCCGUCACACCAUGGGAGUGGGCUGCACCAGAAGUCAUUAGCUUAACCCUUCGGGGAGGGCGAUGACCACGGUGUGGUUCAUGACUGGGGUGAAGUCGUAACAAGGUACC